UACGGGGGGGGCAAGCGUUGUUCGGAAUUACUGGGCGUAAAGGGUGCGUAGGUGGUUUGUUAAGUCUGCUGUGAAAUCCCCGGGCUCAACCUGGGAAUGGCAGUGGAUACUGGCAAGCUAGAGUGCGGUAGAGGGUAGUGGAAUUCCCGGUGUAGCAGUGAAAUGCGUAGAGAUCGGGAGGAACACCAGUGGCGAAGGCGGCUACCUGGACCAGCACUGACACUGAAGCACGAAAGCGUGGGGAGCAAACAGG
This 253-nucleotide ribosomal RNA is filed under the name uncultured bacterium. Its description in RNAcentral is "partial 16S ribosomal RNA". It matches the Rfam family "Bacterial small subunit ribosomal RNA", at positions 524 to 776 of the family's 1533-position model. The record is from RNAcentral.